This 635-nucleotide long non-coding RNA is filed under the name Ictidomys tridecemlineatus (thirteen-lined ground squirrel). RNAcentral describes it as "lncRNA (ENSSTOG00000031215.1)". The record is from RNAcentral. Lineage: Eukaryota; Metazoa; Chordata; Mammalia; Rodentia; Sciuridae.
GAAAAGAAAACUCCUGGAACCUUACCACCCAACGUUCACUUCAAUAUGAGCAUCCAAGAUGGCAACCACAUCAGCAGUGGCAGCUGCCCAGCCCGUGUUGCGUGCUUGAGCAAGACCUCUUCUCUCACUAUGCCGUAUCAUUUUCAACAAUCCAGGAUACUUCUGGUUGUAAAGCUUAAUCUUCUCAUUCAAGGAUACCUUUAGUUCUUCUGCCAACCAAACACACACCCACAGAAACACUGAGUGCAAUAAUCAAUGUGGUACAGAAAUUUGAUACUAUAAUAGUGGUUGGAUUACCAUUGUAGGAUAAGCAAUUCUUCAACCUUGACCUGUACCAUAGCUUCCUGUGGAUGUCAAACUCUAGUUGGAUCACUAUCGGAUUCCAUGCCACUUCCUAUUUGGGGACGGUUUCUUCAACUUGGAAAUAGCAGCUCAAGUUGCUCACCAUUUGAGCUGAAAUCAUCCACCAAGAUGAUCUCUUUCAGCAACCGAGGUGGGGUCCGGCUGAUGACACUGGUGAUGGCCCGUUGUAUAAUGGACAGAGAUUCAUCCAUGAAUAUGAUGACGACACCAAGGGAUGGGAGUAGGGAAGGGUAUGACUUCUGAACACACCUAUAAGAAACCAUUUUGAUAAC